AGCCGCGGCCCCUUCCUCUCGCAGCUGGUGCUGUGGGGCCGCGGAGCCGCGCGUCGCUGUCUCUAUGGCCCCGGAUCCGAGCGCAAAGCUGGGCCAGGCCUUUCUCACCACCAAGUCCCCCGGUCCUGCAUGACGGCUCUAGAGGGGCGCGGGCCAGGCCUCGGGCUGCGCGGGGUGCAAACCGGCCACCACGGAGUCGGGGACCAGCGCGGGGAGGGGGCCGCGUGGCGAACAGUGUUCCCCAGGAUCUGGGUCACGUCUCCCGGCGUCCGGCGGGAUCGAAGGAGAGCUUGUCCUCGAGCUGCAGCAGUAGAGACUGAGAAAACGGACCUCAGAAAACCAGGACUAGCUCUACUGUCGGGGGCAGGGUGACCCCAUCAGUAACCUACAACCCCUCUAGAACUUCACAACUCCCUCUCACCAUGGAGUUUGCAUUUGAUGCAGAAAGGCAUGUGAUCCCUCCCUCCUUCUGACCUCUUAGCUGGGGAUUCCAUGGCCACACAACCCUGUGACUCCAUGUCCCCCCGAUUCCAGGACCCCCCAUGGCCCCAUGAUUCCUUGACUCCUAUGACCUUAUGACCCCUGACCUUCCAAGUGACUUCCUUGGACUUUGACCCCUGUGACUGUGCUUCCCAUUCCCCGCCCCCACAACCUGUGACUCUGGCUCCCUUUGGGGGUCUUGUUAGUCUGGGCCUCCCCAGGAAGAUGUGGGGGAGGCUCUGGCCCCUCCUCCUCAGCAUCCUCACAGCAACUGCAGUCCCAGGACCCUCACUGCGGAGACCGUCUAGAGAACUAGAUGCCACCCCUCGGAUGACCAUACCCUAUGAAGAGCUCUCUGGGACCCGGCACUUCAAGGGCCAAGCCCAGAACUACUCAACACUGCUGCUGGAGGAGGCCUCAGCAAGGCUGCUGGUGGGAGCCCGAGGUGCCCUGUUCUCUCUCAGUGCCAACGACAUAGGAGAUGGGGCUCACAAAGAGAUCCACUGGGAAGCCUCCCCAGAGAUGCAAAGCAAAUGUCAUCAAAAAGGGAAAAACAACCAGACGGAGUGCUUUAACCAUGUGCGGUUCCUGCAGCGGCUCAAUUCUACCCACCUCUAUGCAUGUGGGACUCACGCCUUCCAGCCCCUCUGUGCAGCCAUUGAUGCUGAGGCCUUCACCUUGCCAACCAGCUUCGAGGAGGGGAAGGAGAAGUGUCCUUAUGACCCAGCCCGUGGCUUCACAGGCCUCAUCAUUGAUGGAGGCCUCUACACAGCCACUAGGUAUGAAUUCCGGAGCAUUCCUGACAUCCGCCGGAGCCGCCACCCACACUCCCUGAGAACUGAGGAGACACCAAUGCAUUGGCUCAAUGAUGCGGAGUUUGUGUUCUCCGUCCUCGUGCGGGAGAGCAAGGCCAGUGCAGUGGGUGAUGAUGACAAGGUGUACUACUUCUUCACGGAGCGUGCCACUGAGGAGGGCUCUGGCAGCUUCACUCAGAGCCGCAGCAGUCACCGUGUGGCCCGUGUGGCUCGUGUCUGCAAGGGAGACCUGGGAGGGAAGAAGAUCCUGCAGAAGAAGUGGACUUCCUUCCUGAAAGCCCGUCUCAUCUGCCACAUUCCACUGUAUGAGACACUGCGUGGGGUCUGCAGCCUGGAUGCUGAAACCUCAAGCCGUACACACUUCUAUGCAGCCUUCACGCUGAGCACACAGUGGAAGACCCUGGAGGCCUCAGCCAUCUGCCGCUAUGACCUGGCAGAGAUCCAGGCUGUCUUUGCAGGACCCUAUAUGGAAUACCAGGAUGGUUCCCGGCGCUGGGGUCGCUAUGAGGGUGGGGUGCCUGAGCCCCGGCCUGGCUCGUGUAUCACAGAUUCAUUGCGCAGCCAAGGCUACAAUUCAUCCCAAGACUUGCCAUCCCUGGUCCUGGACUUUGUAAAGUUGCACCCACUGAUGGCUCGGCCCGUUGUGCCCACACGUGGACGGCCCCUGCUGCUCAAGCGCAACAUACGCUACACACACCUUACAGGGACACCUGUCACCACGCCUGCUGGACCUACCUAUGACCUGCUCUUUCUGGGCACAGCUGAUGGCUGGAUCCACAAGGCCGUAGUCCUGGGCUCUGGGAUGCACAUUAUUGAAGAGACACAAGUGUUCAGGGAGUCCCAGUCUGUGGAAAAUCUAGUCAUCUCUCUAUUGCAGCACAGCCUCUAUGUGGGGGCUCCUAGCGGAGUCAUCCAGCUACCACUCUCCAGCUGCUCCCGCUACCGAUCCUGCUAUGACUGCAUCUUGGCCCGAGACCCCUACUGUGGCUGGGACCCUGGCACCCAUGCCUGCGCAGCAGCCACCACCAUAGCCAACAGGUCCCAGGGAAGCAGGACAGCACUGAUACAGGACAUAGAGAGAGGAAAUCGAGGCUGUGAGAGCAGCAGGGAUACAGGGCCACCACCACCACUGAAGACCCGCUCUGUGCUCCGGGGUGAUGAUGUCCUCCUGCCCUGUGACCAGCCAUCCAACCUGGCCCGGGCCUUGUGGCUACUCAAUGGGAGCAUGGGCCUGAGCGAUGGGCAGGGUGGCUACCGUGUGGGCGUGGACGGGCUGCUGGUUACAGAUGCACAGCCUGAGCACAGUGGCAACUAUGGCUGCUAUGCCGAGGAAAAUGGCCUCCGCACCCUGCUGGCCUCCUAUAGUCUCACAGUCCGGCCAGCCACUCCUGCCCCAGCUCCAAAAGCCCCUGCCACACCUGGGGCACAGCUGGCACCUGAUGUGAGACUGCUCUAUGUGCUAGCCAUUGCCGCGCUUGGUGGCCUCUGCCUCAUCCUGGCCUCCUCCCUCCUCUAUGUGGCCUGUCUGCGGGAAGGCAGACGAGGGCGCCGACGGAAAUACUCACUGGGUCGGGCCAGCCGGGCAGGAGGAUCUGCGGUGCAACUGCAGACAGUCUCAGGCCAGUGUCCUGGAGAGGAAGAUGAGGGUGAUGAUGAGGGGGCUGGGGGCCUGGAGGGCAGCUGUCUCCAGAUCAUCCCUGGGGAGGGAGCCCCAGCCCCACCACCCCCACCGCCCCCACCGCCACCGGCUGAGCUGACCAAUGGCUUGGUGGCACUGCCCAGCCGGCUGCGGAGGAUGAAUGGCAAUAGCUAUGUGCUUCUGAGGCAGAGCAACAAUGGAGUACCAGCAGGGCCCUGCUCCUUCGCCGAGGAACUCAGCCGCAUCCUGGAAAAAAGGAAGCACACGCAGCUCGUGGAGCAGCUAGAUGAGAGCUCUGUCUGAGCCCAGCCUCCCAGAACAAAUGCUCUUCCAAGCCAGCCUAUCUGUCCCAGGCUGGGCCACUGCCUCCCUAACACAGCCACCCUCCCUUCAUUACCCCCACUCCAUACCCUUCUCCCAACUUUUUGAUGUCCCUGUAGGGCUGGCCAGUCAGGCCCAGCCAAAGCCCCCUCCUCAGUCUCCACAGACCCACAUGUGAGCAGCCCAGGCCCAUCGGUGCUCCUCAGAGGCAGGGCUCUGCAGGUCCAUAUGGGCUCAAUGUCACCACCCUCUGCAUGGCCCUGUGUGCUGGAUGGUCCUGAAACCAGACAAGACCUCUGCCAGCCACCUAAGCCCUGCGUACAUUCACAUGCACACAUGGAAGAAUGUUUAUCGGCUGGGCUGCAGUGCCCCCACCCUCACCUUCUCCUGGUGCAUUCUUGUUUCAUCCCUGCUUCUGGACUUGGGGUACCCUCCCAAUUGCCACAUCCUAUCUGGUCCUCUUCCCCAGCCCCAUGUGGUGACCUCUUUGUCAAGAGCUUGGGAACGGGCCAGCCUGGGGAGGUAAGACUGCAUCACUCCCCUCCUCUCCCUUCCUGUGUGGCCCUUGUGAAUCAGCCUCCCCACUCUCCUUGGUCAUUCUCAAGAGUAUGAGAGACAGAGCUCCAGGCAUGUCCCAUCCCCAUGCACAUGUGGUAACACACACCUGUAUCACACAUGUGCUUACAUUUCCACUCACAUGCACCUCUGAGCCUCCCUUGCUGUCUUGGACCUGUCUGUUGGGUUUAGUCCGUGGACAUUUCAGAGGGAGAUCCCCCUCCCAUUUAACUGUCCUCACAGGCCCUUGCCUAGGAUGGAUGACCAACACUGCACUCAAUGAGCCAGCCUCUCUUUUGGGGGAAUCAAGCAUUUGCUUCCUCUAGACUACAGCAGGGAAAGGGAGGAGAAAUCUGAUGUCUCAACUGGCACAUGAAGCCCAUUCUUGGAACUAUGCAAAGGGCAGAGGCUGGGAGUUUGGACGCUUAGCUCCUACCCCUGUCCUACCUCACCGGGGCACUUUCAGGGGCCAGGGGCCUCUGAAGUCUCUAGGCCUAUAUGGGACAAUCAAUUCUGACUGAGCUCCCCCAUUCCCCUCGGGUGAGGAUGACUGUUAUUUUUGUAGCUGAGAACGUGGAAUCCCACGGGUUUUUACUGCCCUUCACCCAACCUCUCCCACCUCCACCCCACAAUGAAUGUAUUUAUUGUGAGAAUGGCUACACUUCUUUAGGAAUGCCCCCACUUACAACCAGGUGGGUGGAACAGGCAUGUGACAGAGUGGGGAGCCUGGGCUCAGCUCCUCCCCCUGCCGUUGGUUAAUAAACACCCUUUUUCCCCACA
Molecule: RNA transcript, 4590 nt
Organism: Homo sapiens (human)
Lineage: Eukaryota; Metazoa; Chordata; Mammalia; Primates; Hominidae
Gene: SEMA4G
Gene name: semaphorin 4G
Exons: 17
Source: RefSeq, marked reviewed